RNAcentral lists this ribosomal RNA (700 nucleotides) under uncultured bacterium. RNAcentral's name for it is "bacterial SSU rRNA". It matches the Rfam family "Bacterial small subunit ribosomal RNA", at positions 42 to 738 of the family's 1533-position model. The record is from RNAcentral.
UCAGGCCUAACACAUGCAAGUCGAGGGGUAACAGGAAAGCUUGCUUUCGCUGACGACCGGCGCACGGGUGCGUAACGCGUAUGCAACCUACCUCAUACUGGAGAAUAGCCCCUGGAAACGGGGAUUAAUACUCCAUGGUAUCAUUCUUUCGCAUGUUAGAAUGAUUAAAGAAUUUCGGUAUGAGAUGGGCAUGCGUCCCAUUAGCUAGUUGGUGAGGUAACGGCUCACCAAGGCAACGAUGGGUAGGGGGCCUGAGAGGGUGGUCCCCCACACUGGUACUGAGACACGGACCAGACUCCUACGGGAGGCAGCAGUGAGGAAUAUUGGUCAAUGGAGGCAACUCUGAACCAGCCAUGCCGCGUGAAGGAUGACGGCCCUAUGGGUUGUAAACUUCUUUUGAAUAGGAAGAAACUUAUCUACGUGUAGAUAACUGACGGUACUAUUAGAAUAAGGAUCGGCUAACUCCGUGCCAGCAGCCGCGGUAAUACGGAGGAUCCAAGCGUUAUCCGGAUUCAUUGGGUUUAAAGGGUCCGUAGGCGGGUCUUUAAGUCAGUGGUGAAAGCCGACAGCUCAACUGUCGAACUGCCAUUGAUACUGGAGACCUUGAGUACAAAUGAAGUAGGCGGAAUGAGUCAUGUAGCGGUGAAAUGCAUAGAUAUGACUCAGAACACCGAUUGCGAAGGCAGCUUACUAACAUGUA